Molecule: ribosomal RNA, 293 nt
Filed under: uncultured microorganism
Description: partial 16S ribosomal RNA
Rfam family: Bacterial small subunit ribosomal RNA
Source: RNAcentral
GUGCCAGCAGCCGCGGUAAUACGUAGGGGGCGAGCGUUGUCCGGAAUUAUUGGGCGUAAAGCGCGCGCAGGCGGUCCUUUAAGUCUGAUGUGAAAUCUUGCGGCUCAACCGCAAGCGGUCAUUGGAAACUGGGGGACUUGAGUGCAGAAGAGGAAAAGCGGAAUUCCMCGUGUAGCGGUGAAAUGCGUAGAGAUGUGGAGGAACACCAGUGGCGAAGGCGGCUUUCUGGUCUGUAACUGACGCUGAGGCGCGAAAGCGUGGGGAGCAAACAGGAUUAGAUACCCUGGUAGUCC